GCGUCGAGCGGCGGACGGGUGAGUAAUGCCUAGGAAAUUGCCCUGAUGUGGGGGAUAACCAUUGGAAACGAUGGCUAAUACCGCAUAAYGCCUACGGGCCAAAGAGGGGGACCUUCGGGCCUCUCGCGUCAGGAUAUGCCUAGGUGGGAUUAGCUAGUUGGUGAGGUAAGGGCUCACCAAGGCGACGAUCCCUAGCUGGUCUGAGAGGAUGAUCAGCCACACUGGAACUGAGACACGGUCCAGACUCCUACGGGAGGCAGCAGUGGGGAAUAUUGCACAAUGGGCGCAAGCCUGAUGCAGCCAUGCCGCGUGUGUGAAGAAGGCCUUCGGGUUGUAAAGCACUUUCAGUCGUGAGGAAGGUAGUGUAGUUAAUAGCUGCAUUAUUUGACGUUAGCGACAGAAGAAGCACCGGCUAACUCCGUGCCAGCAGCCGCGGUAAUACGGAGGGUGCGAGCGUUAAUCGGAAUUACUGGGCGUAAAGCGCAUGCAGGUGGUUUGUUAAGUCAGAUGUGAAAGCCCGGGGCUCAACCUCGGAAUUGCAUUUGAAACUGGCAGACUAGAGUACUGUAGAGGGGGGUAGAAUUUCAGGUGUAGCGGUGAAAUGCGUAGAGAUCUGAAGGAAUACCGGUGGCGAAGGCGGCCCCCUGGACAGAUACUGACACUCAGAUGCGAAAGCGUGGGGAGCAAACAGGAUUAGAUACCCUGGUAGUCCACGCCGUAAACGAUGUCUACUUGGAGGUUGUGGCCUUGAGCCGUGGCUUUCGGAGCUAACGCGUUAAGUAGACCGCCUGGGGAGUACGGUCGCAAGAUUAAAACUCAAAUGAAUUGACGGGGGCCCGCACAAGCGGUGGAGCAUGUGGUUUAAUUCGAUGCAACGCGAAGAACCUUACCUACUCUUGACAUCCAGAGAACUUUCCAGAGAUGGAUUGGUGCCUUCGGGAACUCUGAGACAGGUGCUGCAUGGCUGUCGUCAGCUCGUGUUGUGAAAUGUUGGGUUAAGUCCCGCAACGAGCGCAACCCUUA
This 1023-nucleotide ribosomal RNA is filed under the name Vibrio campbellii. RNAcentral describes it as "bacterial SSU rRNA". It matches the Rfam family "Bacterial small subunit ribosomal RNA", at positions 88 to 1107 of the family's 1533-position model. Lineage: Bacteria; Pseudomonadati; Pseudomonadota; Gammaproteobacteria; Vibrionales; Vibrionaceae. The record is from RNAcentral.